RNAcentral lists this ribosomal RNA (466 nucleotides) under uncultured bacterium. RNAcentral's name for it is "partial 16S ribosomal RNA". It matches the Rfam family "Bacterial small subunit ribosomal RNA", at positions 28 to 507 of the family's 1533-position model. The record is from RNAcentral.
GACGAACGCUGGCGGCGCGCCUAACACAUGCAAGUCGAACGAGCGAGAGAGAGCUUGCUUUCUCGAGCGAGUGGCGAACGGGUGAGUAACGCGUGAGGAACCUGCCUCAAAGAGGGGGACAACAGUUGGAAACGACUGCUAAUACCGCAUAAGCCCACGACCCGGCAUCGGGUAGAGGGAAAAGGAGCAAUCCGCUUUGAGAUGGCCCCGCGUCCGAUUAGCUAGUUGGUGAGGUAACGGCCCACCAAGGCGACGAUCGGUAGCCGGACUGAGAGGUUGAACGGCCACAUUGGGACUGAGACACGGCCCAGACUCCUACGGGAGGCAGCAGUGGGGAAUAUUGCACAAUGGGGGAAACCCUGAUGCAGCGACGCCGCGUGGAGGAAGAAGGUCUUCGGAUUGUAAACUCCUGUUGUUGAGGAAGAUAAUGACGGUACUCAACAAGGAAGUGACGGCUAACUACGUG